This 71-nucleotide transfer RNA is filed under the name Neotoma lepida (desert woodrat). It matches the Rfam family "tRNA". Rfam says of the family: Transfer RNA (tRNA) molecules are approximately 80 nucleotides in length. The record is from Rfam by way of RNAcentral. Lineage: Eukaryota; Metazoa; Chordata; Mammalia; Rodentia; Cricetidae.
GGUGGUGUAGCUCAAGUUAGAGCAUUUGCCUGGCACNUACAAGGCGCUGGGCUCCAACCCCAGCCCCACCA